Molecule: small nucleolar RNA, 68 nt
Organism: Chrysoperla carnea
Lineage: Eukaryota; Metazoa; Arthropoda; Insecta; Neuroptera; Chrysopidae
Source: RefSeq, a predicted model, not a curated record
UUUCAUAAUGAUGAAUUAAGUUUACCGCCCCAGGCUGAUUUUUGUGAAAGAUAGGUUUUUCUGAUAAG